RNAcentral lists this ribosomal RNA (462 nucleotides) under uncultured bacterium. RNAcentral describes it as "partial 16S ribosomal RNA". It matches the Rfam family "Bacterial small subunit ribosomal RNA", at positions 28 to 507 of the family's 1533-position model. The record is from RNAcentral.
GAUGAACGCUGACCGAAUGCUUAACACAUGCAAGUCAUUGGCGAAGCUGCGCUUGCGCAGUCUAGCCAAGGCGGACGGGUGAGUAACGCGUAAGGAACUUGCCCUGCAGACAGGGAUAACAGACGGAAACGACUGAUAACACCUGGUAUUGUCAGGCUGGCGCAUGCCGGCCUGAUGAAAGGAGACGCUGCAGGAGAGCCUUGCGUCCUAUUAGCUAGUUGGUGGGGUAACGGCCCACCAAGGCGAUGAUAGGUAGCCGGCCUGAGAGGGUGAACGGCCACAAGGGGACUGAGAUACGGCCCUUUCUCCUACGGGAGGCAGCAGUGGGGAAUAUUGGACAAUGGGGGCAACCCUGAUCCAGCAAUUCUGUGUGCACGAAGAAGGUUUUCGGAUUGUAAAGUGCUUUCAGCAGGGAAGAAGAAAGUGACGGUACCUGCAGAAGAAGCGACGGCUAAAUACGUG